RNAcentral lists this ribosomal RNA (585 nucleotides) under Staphylococcus epidermidis. RNAcentral describes it as "bacterial SSU rRNA". It matches the Rfam family "Bacterial small subunit ribosomal RNA", at positions 60 to 627 of the family's 1533-position model. Lineage: Bacteria; Bacillati; Bacillota; Bacilli; Caryophanales; Staphylococcaceae. The record is from RNAcentral.
AGUCGAGCGANAGACGAGGAGCUUGCUCCUCUGACGUUAGCGGCGGACGGGUGAGUAACACGUGGAUAACCUACCUAUAAGACUGGGAUAACUUCGGGAAACCGGAGCUAAUACCGGAUAAUAUAUUGAACCGCAUGGUUCAAUAGUGAAAGACGGUUUUGCUGUCACUUAUAGAUGGAUCCGCGCCGCAUUAGCUAGUUGGUAAGGUAACGGCUUACCAAGGCAACGAUGCGUAGCCGACCUGAGAGGGUGAUCGGCCACACUGGAACUGAGACACGGUCCAGACUCCUACGGGAGGCAGCAGUAGGGAAUCUUCCGCAAUGGGCGAAAGCCUGACGGAGCAACGCCGCGUGAGUGAUGAAGGUCUUCGGAUCGUAAAACUCUGUUAUUAGGGAAGAACAAAUGUGUAAGUAACUAUGCACGUCUUGACGGUACCUAAUCAGAAAGCCACGGCUAACUACGUGCCAGCAGCCGCGGUAAUACGUAGGUGGCAAGCGUUAUCCGGAAUUAUUGGGCGUAAAGCGCGCGUAGGCGGUUUUUUAAGUUCUGAUGUGAAAGCCCACGGCUCCACCGUGGAGGGUCAUU